CAACUCGCCUGUAUGAAGUCGGAAUUGCUAGUAAUCGUGGAUCAGCAUGCCACGGUGAAUACGUUCCCGGGCCUUGUACACACCGCCCGUCACACCAUGAGAGCCGGAACACCCGAAGUCCGUAGUCUAACCUAUAUGGAGGACGCGGCCGAAGGUGGGUUUGGUAAUUGGGGUGAAGUCGUAACAAGGUAAC
This 193-nucleotide ribosomal RNA is filed under the name uncultured bacterium. RNAcentral's name for it is "partial 16S ribosomal RNA". It matches the Rfam family "Bacterial small subunit ribosomal RNA", at positions 1308 to 1500 of the family's 1533-position model. The record is from RNAcentral.